GAUGAAGAACGUAGCGAAAUGCGAUACGUAAUGUGAAUUGCAGAAUUCAGUGAAUCAUCGAGUCUUUGAACGCACAUUGCGCCCCCUGGUAUUCCGGGGGGCAUGCCUGUCCGAGCGUCAUUGCUGCCCUCAAGCACGGCUUGUGUGUUGGGCCUCCGUCCUCCUCCCGGGGGACGGGCCCGAAAGGCAGCGGCGGCACCGCGUCCGGUCCUCGAGCGUAUGGGGCUUCGUCACCCGCUCUUGUAGGCCCGGCCGGCGCUUGCCGACACAUCAAUCUUUUUUCCAGGUUGACCUCGGAUCAGGUAGGGAUACCCGCUAACUUAAGCAUAUCAAUAAGCGGAGGA
This 344-nucleotide unclassified non-coding RNA is filed under the name soil metagenome. RNAcentral describes it as "partial contains 5.8S ribosomal RNA, internal transcribed spacer 2, and large subunit ribosomal RNA". The stretch from base 1 to 120 matches the Rfam family "5.8S ribosomal RNA", at positions 35 to 154 of the family's 154-position model. The record is from RNAcentral.